This is a non-coding RNA of Taeniopygia guttata (zebra finch), 3168 nucleotides long. The record is from RefSeq and is a predicted model, not a curated record. Lineage: Eukaryota; Metazoa; Chordata; Aves; Passeriformes; Estrildidae.
CCCCGCUCUGCUCCACCGGGAGCCCGGGGACACCGAUUCUGCUCCUCCGGGGACACCCGCUCUGCUCCACCGGGACACCCUACUCCUGUGUACCCCGGGAACACCCCGCUCCCGUGCCCACCUCCGCCUUUCUCCUCCCGGGGACACCCCGGUCCUGUCCCCCCCUGCCAGGGGACACCCCGGUGGUGCUUCUCCCCCGGACCGUGCCGGGUUUUUUCAUUUUUUCAUUUCAGCAGCACCGCCGGGUGUGUGCCUGUGUGAGAUCAGAGCUUUCCCUGGGCAAAGCUCCCGCUGCCUUUGGGGUACCCCGGCAGCGCGGCUCCAUCUCUUUUCUACCGUGUUUUUUGGAUUUUUUUUUGGUUUUUUUUUCUUGGAGCCACGUUUGCGUGUGGAACGGGAGCUGGGGGAGGAGGACGAGCGGCUCCAUGUGCGUUCCAUGCCCUGCCACGCCGUGAUGCCCCGGGAGCCGCCGGGGUAAUUCCCGUCCCGCAUCCCGGAGCCGCCCCCCCGCUCCCCGAAGCGCUCCCGGGCGCUGGGGAGGAUUGACGGCUGCUGUGUGUUGGGGAUUAUUUCUGGUUAGACCCAAUUAGAUUAUCAUGUCUAAGAAAAGAAUAAGCCUAUUCAGUCAGGAACCCCCACUGACGAGCCAAAUGGCGAGUGAGAUGUUACGAUUAUUAGGCACAGUGGAAAAAAGCCCGGUGUCGCCUUGCUCUUGUCGGGGAAAGCCGAGGUCGUGUUGGCGAUGGGAGAUGCUCCCACAGGCGGUACAUGGCUCAGAAUCCAGUCUGGAUUCAUCUGGGACUGCCAGAAGGGCUCCUGGAUCCGUCUGCCUGCGUGGUUUGUGGGGAGAAAUCGGUGGCUUUGGGUCAGGGGAUGGUGAUGGAUGGGAUCUGUGAAAGGCAGAGACGUCAUUUGGGGCAGCCUUAGAAACGUGUAACGUAAAUACGGGAGAUAACAGCACCCAGCCUGUUUCCUGAGGUGCUUGGAAGGUUUUAGAGAUGGACUUCAGUUCAGGCUGGGAGGAUGAGUGCUGCAGCUUUGCUGGAGGGAGAGGCCGGCCAUGCAGGUGGGCAGUCCCUACAAAUGUGGUUUGGGAUGAUUUUCCCACCUUGGGGAGAAGGUUGCGAGAUGGGACUCAAAACAGCCCCAAAAAUCACCUUCAUGCUGUUCUUGCAGCCAGCCAGGCAUGACUGGUGUUGCUGCAGCUUCCAGGAAAUCUCUGACCGGUUCAUGAAAGAAUAAACUGCUGGGCUGUGAUUAUUUUGUUUUCUCUGUGGCUCUGAGGGAGAGAUGACUGUGCCACUGGUCAAAGCCCAGAAUGGGGUAGGCUGGAGAAGUGCAGGGAUUAACGAGAAAGGAAUGAUUAGGGAAAAAACCAUGAGGAAUAUUUUCUCUGGGGGGAGAGGAUUAAUCAGGAGAUGGGAGUAUGAAGAAGGAGAUGCUGAAGGUUAUAAGACUAAAUCUCACCUUCCUUAUGUGCUGUCUUAAGAAAUUAGCCUGGCACGGGCGUUGCUGGCACACUCAGCCCUGGUGAGGUCCUGAGGGCUGUGCUGACAAUCCCAAUUUCCAUAUCUCUGCUGAAAUUCCCAAGGCUGGACAUUGAUGAACACAGUGAGUGGCUGUGUUCAGGUUUCCCUCCUCACACUGGGAGGGUUGUGCCCACUCCUGUGUGGGAGAGGUGCCUUCUGUGUGUUUGGAAGUUUUGUUCUCUUCCAGAGCAGGGAGCCCUGGCCCUCCAAACCACCAGGAGAGCACAUUUGGCUGUGAUUUCACCCUGAGUGCCAUGACAACAACUGGUUUAUGUUUUCCACCUCAAAUACGCUGUCCUGAGCUGCUCCAGCAUCUCUGGAGUCCCUUCAGCGAGGGGAUGCUGUGCCUGGAGGUGAUGGAUCUGUGCCAGCUGCUGUUUGCUGGGCUCUCAGAGGAUUUUGUGUUGAGAAAGGGCUCUGCUUUGUCCACCUCCAACACACACACCUGGUCACCUCAAAAACACAUACCUGGUCACCUCAAACACACACUGUCACCUCCCUGCCUCCUGAUUCUAAAUAAAUUGCAGGACAUGAUGGGCACUGCUCCAGGUCACGUUUUUUUGGGUGAAGUUCUCCAAUCUGUGCUCCCUGUGCCCUUGGUGUUCCUGAGGUGUCCAGAGCCAGCAGAGGGACAGGGAUGCCACUGGCUGUGUCACUCCUGGUGGUCUGUUGGGCAGUAAUCAGGGUUUUCCCCGUGGCUCUGUGUGUCCCUGUGCUGUUUUUGGCACUGCUGUAGGAAAUGUGCCACCGUGGUUCGUGUGUUGAGCCUGUGCUGGUGGGGACUGGGCUCUGUGGGUGUGUUCCAGGAGGAUGCAUUUGUUGGGAUGUAUUCAAGGAGGAAAAUAUGCAGGACAGCCCAAGAGAGAUCCAAGUUUCAGUCUGUAAGCCGAGUGCUGUUCCUUCCAUCCUUCAAGCUGAUGGGAAUUCUCCCUUUUCCUGUGAAAUUAUUCCCUUUUUCUCAGGGUUGCAUGAGGAUGUGAACUCCAGGGAAGCAGUGGUGUGGUUUUGCCACCGAGUUCCCACUUUGGCUGUGCUGGGUCUCAGCUCUGUCUCUGUCUCUGAGCUUUGGGAACGUCCCAACCUUGUCCCUUCCCCAGUGCUCUCUUCCCCUCAGCUCUGUGGGAUCUUUCCCUACACACACAUGGGUGUAAAUCCUGAAUUCUGGUCACCACCCCAUGUCUGCUGAGGGCAGACCCAGUUCAGCAGCCCAGGGGUGCCAGAGGCAUCCACAGACAUGGUGGCACUGGAGCUGGGAGCUGUGGGAGCCUAUCCCAAAUUUCCAGCUCCUGCAGCAGGGUGGUCUCCCUGUGCACGUUUGCAGAUGCCACGUGUUUGGAGGAAGCAGCCAGGCCGGGCUUGGCAGGGGAAAUCGCUGCCUAAUGAGCUGUGAUUGACAUAAUUUGACUGCUGGAUUACAAAUCUGUGGAGCAUCUCCCUUCUGCUGGAAUUCCCAUCUUGCCCCUGGAUUUUGUCCCAGCGUCCUUUUCCAUCCCAGGGAAGGCAGCUUGAGUGUCUCCUGCUGAAGAAUUUGGAAGCUCAGUGUGAAAACUCUUAAUGUUUCCCAGCUGUUCCCCUUCCUCAUUGUCUAUCAGCUAUAUUAGGCAUUGUUUUAUAAAAUAUAUAUGUAUUUUAAACCAUA